Molecule: ribosomal RNA, 497 nt
Filed under: uncultured bacterium
Lineage: Bacteria
Description: partial 16S ribosomal RNA
Rfam family: Bacterial small subunit ribosomal RNA
Source: RNAcentral
GAUGAACGCUGGCGGCGUGCUUAAUACAUGCAAGUCGAGCGAACAGAUGAGGAGCUUGCUCCGCUGACGUUAGCGGCGGACGGGUGAGUAACACGUGGAUAACCUACCUAUAAGACUGGGAUAACUUCGGGAAACCGGAGCUAAUCCCGGAUAAUAUAUUGAACCGCAUGGUUCAAUAGUGAAAGACGGUGUUGCUGUCACUUAUAGAUGGUUCGGCGCCGCAUUAGCUAGUGGGUAAGGUAACGGCUUACCAAGGCAACGAUGCGUAGCCGACCUGAGAGGGUGAUCGGCCACACUGGAACUGAGACACGGUCCAGACUCCUACGGGAGGCAGCAGUAGGGAAUCUUCCGCCAUGGGCGAAAGCCUGACGGAGCAACGCCGCGUGAGUGAUGAAGGUCUUCGGAUCGUAAAACUCUGUUAUUAGGGAAGAACAAAUGUGUAAGUAACUAUGCACGUCUUGACGGUACCUAAUCAGAAAGCCACGGCUAACUACGUG